AGUGAACGCUGGCGGUAGGCCUAACACAUGCAAGUCGAACAGCAGCACAGUAAGAGCUUGCUCUUACGGGUGGCGAGUGGCGGACGGGUGCGGAAUACAUCGGAAUCUACUUUUUCGUGGGGGAUAACGUAGGGAAACUUACGCUAAUACCGCAUACGACCUACGGGUGAAAGCAGGGGAUCUUCGGACUUUGCGCGAUUGAAUGAGCCGAUGUCGGAUUAGCUAGUUGGCGGGGUAAAGGCCCACCAAGGCGACGAUCCGUAGCUGGUCUGAGAGGAUGAUCAGCCACACUGGAACUGAGACACGGUCCAGACUCCUACGGGAGGCAGCAGUGGGGAAUAUUGGACAAUGGGCGCAAGCCUGAUCCAGCCAUACCGCGUGGGUGAAGAAGGCCUUCGGGUUGUAAAGCCCUUUUGUUGGGAAAGAAAAGCAGCAGGUUAAUACCCCGCUGUUCUGACGGUACCCAAAGAAUAAGCACCGGCUAACUUCGUG
Molecule: ribosomal RNA, 492 nt
Filed under: uncultured bacterium
Lineage: Bacteria
Description: partial 16S ribosomal RNA
Rfam family: Bacterial small subunit ribosomal RNA
Source: RNAcentral